RNAcentral lists this ribosomal RNA (490 nucleotides) under uncultured bacterium. Its description in RNAcentral is "partial 16S ribosomal RNA". It matches the Rfam family "Bacterial small subunit ribosomal RNA", at positions 30 to 507 of the family's 1533-position model. The record is from RNAcentral.
AUUGAACGCUGGCGGCAGGCCUAACACAUGCAAGUCGAAUGGUAACAGGAAACAGCUUGCUGUUUCGCUGACGAGUGGCGGACGGGUGAGUAAUGUCUGGGAAACUGCCUGAUGGAGGGGGAUAACUACUGGAAACGGUAGCUAAUACCGCAUAACGUCGCAAGACCAAAGAGGGGGACCUUCGGGCCUCUUGCCAUCAGAUGUGCCCAGAUGGGAUUAGCUAGUCGGUGGGGUAACGGCUCACCUAGGCGACGAUCCCUAGCUGGUCUGAGAGGAUGACCAGCCACACUGGAACUGAGACACGGUCCAGACUCCUACGGGAGGCAGCAGUGGGGAAUAUUGCACAAUGGGCGCAAGCCUGAUGCAGCCAUGCCGCGUGUAUGAAGAAGGCCUUCGGGUUGUAAAGUACUUUCAGCGGGGAGGAAGGGAGUAAAGUUAAUACCUUUGCUCAUUGACGUUACCCGCAGAAGAAGCACCGGCUAACUCCGUG